CCAAGCUCUUUGGAGGAGUCCAAGCGUGCCCAGCCCAGAGGGAGGUUCAGAGGCACUGACCGUCUUCUGUUUGGGAGGAGAAGCUCACUCUUGGAGCCACAGCCAGCACUAGGUCAGGACCCAGGCCCCGGCCCAGGAGUGGGGCAAUACCCAGCGUCUACCCCAGAUGGCACCCUGCUGUGAACUGGGCGCCCUCAGCCCCUGCCUUGAGGAAGGGGCAAUACCACCAGCGUGUCUUUUAUCAGGGAAGAUAUUGCUGCAGUUUGGCCGCUGCAACUUAAGAGAAAAGCUAAGGGGUCCCCCAGCAUCCCUUGGGGUGCCACUGCAAAUACUGGCUGGGCCUGGAGAUGACCUGGGUCCCAUUCACUUCCUAGGGUGAAGGAGGUCAUCAUUACCACCCCUGCUUUCAGCCAUUUCUUCAUUCAUUCAAUCAACAAACUGGCUGAGCUGCAACCCUGAGCCGGGGAAUUCAGCCACUCCAGACACAGCCCCUGCCCUCCGGGAAGUCUCGGGAGACCUGGCUAGUCUGGCUGGGAGAAGUCACACGUUGAUUGUCUUGGAAGUGAGAUGGCAUUUACACAAUGGAGGCUGCACUGCCAGCAGGCAAAAAUAACCAGUUAAUUCAGUGGCUUAAAGAAACCAAACCUACCCACAACGCUUGACCUCCCAUUGAUCCAUCUGCGACACCGGCAGUGGCUACCAUUUAUUGAGUGCUGAUGGUGUCACCUGGGAUUGACUUAGUGGUCUCUGGCGCUAGUUCCGAAGUUGAUUCUGUCUGGAGAGCUUAAUGCAGUGUUCAGACCUCAGGGUCCGAACCUGAGGGUCACCCAAAGAUGAGUGGGACAUAGCUGUGUGACCUCGGCUGAGUGCUUUCACCUCUCCAACCUCAGUUUCCUCUUCUGCAAAAUGGGGUGGCUUCAUGGCACCUUCACGUGGUGUGAUUGCGAGGAAUGAAGGGAUCGAUGCCUUGCAAGUAGAGGAGAAGGGGCCGGAUACAUCUUAGUUGUUAUGUUAUUUAAUCAUCUUGGCAACCCCGGGAGGGAGGAACCACUAUCAUUUUAUUUUCCAUUUUGCAGUUGAGGACAAUGAUGAUUCCAGCACAGACAGGGCCCCUGACGGGGCAGUAGGAAAGGAGAAUUGCUUUGGAAGGAGCAUAGGCUGGACUGCCAGCACUCAUAGGAGGCUUCGUGUGUGCCCAGGACUGCGAGAAUUAAAUACAGGACACCCAGUUCAGUUUGAAUUUCAGAUAAACUAUGAAUAAUGAUUAGUGUAAGUAUAUCUCAAUUUAACUGGAUAGCUUGUAUUUUUCUUUGCGAAAUCUGAUAACCCUAGAUGUGCCAGGGACUGUGAUGCUGGCAUUUUGGGCAUGAAGGGCAGAGCCCACUGUCAGGCACAGGCAGAGAAGGUCACAACUCCCUGAUUCUACCCAGGAGAAAUGGGCAGAGCCAAGGUGUUAAUGGGCUGAGGAGGGAGGGCUCACUGCUGGGAGUGGGAGUGGGGAGGGGGCACCGCGAUUGGGCAGGCCUGAGUCCCUGGGAAGAAUGCCACAAGUCAGAGGCAAAAAAAAAAAGGUUUUGUUCACUCAUUGAACAAACAUUCUGCUCCUAUUCAGUGUGAAGCUCUGUGCUGGGUAUGGGGCACAGGGCUGGGAAGAAAACCAACUCCCUGACCUCGUGUGACAUUGUGGGGGACAAAGGGACUAAAGACACACACACACAUGCAAACUCAUAGCUCAAUGAGGUCAGGAGGUCAUUUCAGACAUGGUGAUAACAGGCCAAAGGCCAGAGUUGGGGUGAGAUCAAGGAAGCCCUCCCUGAGGAGGUGGCAUCUCAUUCCACCUGCAGUUACCAACCACCCACAGGUGCAGCCCCAGCCAUACUGAGGCUCACAGGUGAGGCUGACAUCACAUGUGUAAAAAGAUGAGUCCAGGUGAUAAUUUCAGAGAGGGACGAGACCUGGGAAGAAUAUAAAAGGAGAGGGUUUGGAGGCGACUUGAGCCCAAAGGGUUGGGCCUCCUCUCUGGGGAGAUGUGGGCUGGGCAUGUAGGGGACAGUAGAGAGGGGAUGCCAGGCCAGUGGGGGCAUCAGGAACUGGGAGACUCUCAUGGUCCCAGCAGGUUUGGAGUUUGGGACACAUUUCUCAGCCUGGCUGUGGCCAUGGGGUUGUGAAAUGGGUGUGUGAAGCAAAUGGAUUGUGAAAUGGGUGACUGCAGAGACAGGCCUUUCUGGGACUCCAGACAGCG
RNAcentral lists this long non-coding RNA (2242 nucleotides) under Homo sapiens (human). Its description in RNAcentral is "non-protein coding lnc-PCK1-5:1". Lineage: Eukaryota; Metazoa; Chordata; Mammalia; Primates; Hominidae. The record is from RNAcentral.